Molecule: long non-coding RNA, 774 nt
Organism: Asparagus officinalis (garden asparagus)
Lineage: Eukaryota; Viridiplantae; Streptophyta; Magnoliopsida; Asparagales; Asparagaceae
Exons: 3
Source: RefSeq, a predicted model, not a curated record
AUCUAAGUUUGUUCUUUGUAGAUUGACUUCCGCUCCAGUGAACUUAAUGAAUAUGUUUUUCUUUCUAUAUAUAUACUUUAUGGAACUAACGUUUGAUGUGCAUCAAUCUUGUAGUAGAUUUCCUGUUCUUUUUCUUGGUUUCAAUCUUUGGCUAUAGGAGAUUGAAGGUUCUUUCAAAUGAGCGGAUGAAUGGAACUGAAUGUUUGACUGUUAAGAUUUCAUCUUCUACUUUUUUUCCUGUGAUUUUUUUAGUUUCUUGUAAUUAAUCAGUGGUCACAAUUUGCAGAUACCACUGGAGUCUUUGUCGUUCAAUGUCCCGUAAAAGAGGAAGACCUUUCUUUUCUAUGUGGGAUUCCUUUUCCUCCACCAGAUGCUAUACAAACUAUCUCAGUGGAUUACUCGAAGAUAGAAGAAAAUGUCGUUGAGAAGAAAGAUGUCAGUGAGACGAGGAGAGAGGAAAAUAUUACAGAGGGGAAAGAUGACGCUGACAUGAAGCAAAAACCAAAUCUUGGUGCCUUAAAGUAUGAAGACAAACUGGAGGCUUCAAAGAGGAAGCUAAGAGAAGGAUACAAUGAUGCAGAAGAAGCAAAGAAAAGGAGAAAGAUUAUGGUGGUUGACAUGAAUGACCUACAACCAGUACAAAGCCAGAGCAAAAAGAAGACUGAAGUAAAGCGUGGAUGCCGCAUUAACAAGUUUAUCAAACUGAGGCCUAAAAUUGAUCACCACUCUUUGAUUUGGUAGAUAAGUUGAGUUGUUUUAUUCAUUCCCAUACAG